Molecule: ribosomal RNA, 466 nt
Filed under: uncultured bacterium
Lineage: Bacteria
Description: partial 16S ribosomal RNA
Rfam family: Bacterial small subunit ribosomal RNA
Source: RNAcentral
GACGAACGCUGGCGGCGUGCUUAACACAUGCAAGUCGAACGGAAAGGCCCUGCUUUUGUGGGGUGCUCGAGUGGCGAACGGGUGAGUAACACGUGAGUAACCUGCCCUUGACUUUGGGAUAACUUCAGGAAACUGGGGCUAAUACCGGAUAGGAGCUCCUGCUGCAUGGUGGGGGUUGGAAAGUUUCGGCGGUUGGGGAUGGACUCGCGGCUUAUCAGCUUGUUGGUGGGGUAGUGGCUUACCAAGGCUUUGACGGGUAGCCGGCCUGAGAGGGUGACCGGACACAGUGGGACUGAGAUACGGCCCAGACGCCUACGGGAGGCAGGAGUGGGGAAUAUUGCACAAUGGGCGGAAGCCUGAUGCAGAAACGCCGCGUGCGGGAUGACGGCUUUCGGGUUGUAAACCGCUUUCGCCUGUGACGAAGCGUGAGUGACGGUAAUGGGUAAAGAAGCACCGGCUAACUACG